Tympanuchus pallidicinctus (lesser prairie-chicken) is the source of this 2593-nucleotide long non-coding RNA. RefSeq lists it as uncharacterized. The transcript has 2 exons. The record is from RefSeq and is a predicted model, not a curated record. NCBI's taxonomy places the organism in Eukaryota, Metazoa, Chordata, Aves, Galliformes, Phasianidae.
CCCCCGUAUGGGGGACCCUAUGGGAGCAGGGCUGAAGGAGCCAAUGGGCCUCAGCUCGUCCCACUGAUCCCAGCUCUGCUCAGGUCGGGUGGCCUCUCUCUCUCGGUUGCCUCUCCUUUCAUUAUUUUUGACAGCUCAUCUCAUUUGUACGCAGUUUCCCAGCGCUGAACCACACCGGGUUCGUUUGCCUCGCGCUCUGCUGUGAGAACAGUAAUUGCACUGCAGUCCCUAUUGAAGGACCUCCAAACAAGCCCAGAGCGACAGCUUUCCCGGGGGGUUUUGGACAAGUUUCUCCAGGCAUCAUCAUUUGUGUCUGAGGACGUUAUCUCUGCAUCUCUCUCCGCCUGUCGGCGCUGACAGGGCACCCUCAGAUCCGGGCGCGGGAGCUGAAGCCUGAUGCUGUCAUUCCCCACCUGACAUUUGCUGCUCCUCUCAUCCCAGCUAACUGCUCCCCACCAUCACCACGGCUGGGGGCCUUCCCUGCGGGCAGGCAGAUGCCUUGCUUUGCCCUGCUCACACGUUCCGUGGACAGAAGGAGAUAUUUGGUGCCUCGGUGCACGGCACGUCUCCAUAUCUCAUUUCAGCUUGAGGCAGAGAGGUGCUGUGAGAUGCUGCUCUUGCUCCAGCACCUCCUGGAGCGCAGCUCUCCUGCAAGACUGGAGUGAGCAGGUCUUGCUGACACGUGGGCUCCAUCCUAGAACCACCCGUGGGGCACGAGGGCAGCCCAAUCAGCAAGGCAAAGCACACCUGGAGCCUCUGUGUUCCCAGUUAGCUGCUACAGCUGGGGUCUGAGAGAUGACCUCGUCUGUAUGACCGGCAACACCUGCCCAGCAGUAACCAGGACAGCCCAAUACAGAGCACAAAUGAGUAGCAUGAAGUGGGAGUUACUGCUGCCCACCCCUGGGAGCAGAUGCUGUUGGUUCUGAGGCUGCAGCUCAGCAGCUGCUGGCUGCCUGAGAUGCUCCCCGAAUUCAGACCUCAUUCUGCACCCCACAAAAGCAGCAAAGUGCAAAGCCCUCAUCUCACAGCGCUGUGGGGAUUCAUUGCAAGGAUUGACACGCUGUGAUGCAGAGCAAGCCUACCUUUCAUGCUUAAUUUUGUAGAGAAAAACGCACUGGCAGCACCAGGAAGGUGUUUAAUUGCGCCCCGUGACUGCAAGUUUUAUAACCCCAAAUCGGGAUGUAGUGUAUUUAAUUCAAUUAAGUGCUAUAAACCUCCCGUUAUCCCCAUCAGAUGUUAACGAACCCUGGAACGCACAGCCUGCUUGAUUUGCAGCUCCUGCAGCACCGAGCUGCCGUCAUUUAUACGUUUCUCAGCUGUUUCCAAACAGAACAGAUUUUUAUUACUCUUUGGCCACCUGCCCAGAAUCGGUUACAAUUUGGGGAGGGGGGGGGAAUGAGAAGACAGAAAUUCCUCUUUCUCUUCUUCUCCCCUUUGCCACAAAGGGAUUCUGAAAGGUGUAGAAACUGAACCAAGCACCAAAGCAAACCAAACGGGGGUGAGCUGCUGGGGGGGGGGGGGCCUAUGAACCGACACCAUCGGUCUCCCCCAGGGGCGGCGGUGUUGCGUCCGAAGGCACCGGGAGCCGCGUGUCCCCCCCCCACCAGGGAGCAGCAGGGCUGGAGAUGGGCAGGAGUGCUGCAGGAAUACGGCAGGGGAUGCAGCGAAGGACAAACCCUAUAGAAAGCCGAGUGGCGUCCGGGACCUUGGAGAAAUCUCCCGAUCCUUAGUGCGGAGGAACGCGGCCCCGGUGAGCGGAGCGGCUGCGCAGGGAGAGCCGGCUGGGCUUCGGGGCUGUGCUGCUCCUCCAAAGCACAGCGCUUUGCUCGCACUGCCUGAAGACACCGCCGUCCUCAUCGUCUAACGUGGUUAUUUCCGGCUUUUUUUAUUUUUUCCCUGGGUGAUGUUUGGAGUCCAGCCUGCUCCAUCUCCAGGCCGAGCGUUGUCACGCAAUGCGUUGGCAGAGCAGAGCUGCCAGAGGAGGAUCAGGGCUGGAGGGAGAAGAUGCAAAAGUUGGAAGAUGAUUUCCUAUGCGAGCUCUUUGCUUUCUUUUUGUUUUCAGCCUCCCCGAGGCUUUUCAGCUCGCAAAUCUGUGUGCUCUGCUGGCAGCCGUGCUGACCGGCGCUGUCUCAUCAAUGCUGCACGUUGCACUGCAUCCUGCUGACAGCAGUCGUCCCAUUGCAGCCUACUUUGGGGACAUCUCACCCACAGCAGCUGAGUGUGCUGGACGGGAACGUCGAGGACUGCUGGGAACAGAUGGGUUUUGUCCUGAGGUCUGGGCUAGGAAUAGUGCUGUGGAGUGAAAUGCUUUGGCAGAGCUCAGUGAGGAGCACUGAGGGAUGCGCUGAGCAGAAGAAGGAGCAGCAGGGAGCACAGCUCUGCUGACGCUCUGCCCUUCUCCCCACCUGCUGCUCCCAGGUCUUUCCACACUGUUACCGUGCAGCUUCCCAACCCCUGUGCCCCACUGUGCCAUUUCUGUGUGCCCCGAGCAGAGCCCUCCUGUGGGCACCCUUCAUCAAACAGAAGAGGUUUCAAAGUGCCACUCCUCUGUCCAAGGAUGAAAGAGCCCCACUGCCUGCGCUCUCCCCAGCAA